This 782-nucleotide long non-coding RNA is filed under the name Phasianus colchicus (ring-necked pheasant). RNAcentral's name for it is "lncRNA (ENSPCLG00000006974.1)". Lineage: Eukaryota; Metazoa; Chordata; Aves; Galliformes; Phasianidae. The record is from RNAcentral.
CACAUUUUUUGUGUGUUUGCUUGUUAUCUUAUCUUUGAAGUCCUCUGGGAGACCGUGAUCUGCCUUCAACUGACAUGAACACAGUCUGACUACAAAUCAUUGUUUGAGGAAGUGAUUGUGUGACUUUUUACCUCCAAGAUAACAGUUAAAGAGCCUGUCCAGGUCUCUCAAAUUAAAUGCAUAGCUACUCAGUGCAUAAAGCUUUCAUUAGCAUGGCUGCCAAAGGUACCAGGUCAGAGCUCAGCCCUCCAUCUUUGAUGGCCCCAGUUCAGUCAGUGCUCUCAGAUCUCACUCUUUUCCUAACACCCUCCCUGGGUUUCAGAAAACACUUAUUUUGCAGCUCUUUGAGAGCAAACUAGGAGUGUGGGUUUUCCCUAAUUUCUUUUUUCAUGGGGCUAUCUGUUUUCUCACACAUAAUUACUCCCCCUGUUCUUUUUAAGGUUCUGCUGCCAGAAACUGGAAACGACUCCAUGCUUCAAGUGGAAAAUCACAGAUGCCGUUACACACUGUGGCUGUGUGAAGAAGGCAAACAUAACAGGCUAUGUGUAGUGACUCUCCACAAUCUACAAGUGAUUCCCUCUAUUUCCCAGAAGGUGUUCCAGAGCUGGAGCCAAUUCAGCUGCCAAGACGCUGCCUUUCUCACCUGCUGAUUGCAAUUAGCCACUGCCAGCUGGGACCUGGUGUGCCACUGAAGAGCUAACAAGAAGCAGAGACCAGCAUGAUGCCUUGACAGCACAUACACAGUGAAUAAAUAAGAAAUGCUGCGCUGUAUUCCUGAAGUU